This 253-nucleotide ribosomal RNA is filed under the name uncultured bacterium. RNAcentral describes it as "partial 16S ribosomal RNA". It matches the Rfam family "Bacterial small subunit ribosomal RNA", at positions 524 to 776 of the family's 1533-position model. The record is from RNAcentral.
UACGUAGGUGGCAAGCGUUAUCCGGAAUUAUUGGGCGUAAAGAGCGCGCAGGUGGUUAAUUAAGUCUGAUGUGAAAGCCCACGGCUUAACCGUGGAGGGUCAUUGGAAACUGGUUGACUUGAGUGCAGAAGAGGGAAGUGGAAUUCCAUGUGUAACGGUGAAAUGCGUAGAGAUAUGGAGGAACACCAGUGGCGAAGGCGGCUUCCUGGUCUGCAACUGACACUGAGGCGCGAAAGCGUGGGGAGCAAACAGG